GAAAUGCGAUAAGUAAUGUGAAUUACAGAAUUCAGUGAAUCAUCGAAUCUUUGAACGCACAUUGCGCCCGCCAGUAUUCUGGCGGGCAUGCCUGUUCGAGCGUCAUUUCAACCAUCAAGCCCCGGGCUUGUGUUGGGGACCUGCGGCUGCCGCAGGCCCUGAAAAGCAGUGGCGGGCUCGCUGUCACACCGAGCGUAGUAGCAUACAUCUCGCUCUGGGCGUGCUGCGGGUUCCGGCCGUUAAACCACCUUCGUAACCCAAGGUUGACCUCGGAUCAGGUAGGAAGACCCGCUGAACUUAAGC
This 303-nucleotide unclassified non-coding RNA is filed under the name plant metagenome. RNAcentral describes it as "partial contains 5.8S ribosomal RNA, internal transcribed spacer 2, and large subunit ribosomal RNA". The stretch from base 1 to 105 matches the Rfam family "5.8S ribosomal RNA", at positions 50 to 154 of the family's 154-position model. The record is from RNAcentral.